GCCCUUUCAUUUUCUUAACUGUAUAUUCUGAAAAGCAAGUUUAUGCUUUCGGACCUUUAUUCUUUCAGAAUUGAGGUAUCGGUCUAUGCCCCACUUGGAGUUAACUUGCUGUGUAUGACAUGAGACAAGAACAGUUAAUUAUCUGUAAAGAAAUUUGAAAGCAAGAAAAAAUUUAUAUCACCUCACAUGUUUACUGUCCCCAUCAUUCUUCAUUAUUGUGUACGGACCCAAGUUUCCAUCCGGACCCUCUUCCUUCUGCUUGAAGAACUUCCUUCAA
Long non-coding RNA from Myotis daubentonii (Daubenton's bat), 277 nucleotides. RefSeq lists it as uncharacterized. The record is from RefSeq and is a predicted model, not a curated record. NCBI's taxonomy places the organism in Eukaryota, Metazoa, Chordata, Mammalia, Chiroptera, Vespertilionidae.